UUAAUUGAAACCAAAAAGAGGUAAAUUAUUGUUAAUAAUUAAAUUGAAUUUAAAUUAAAUUCCAAUUAAA
This 70-nucleotide transfer RNA is filed under the name Janus sp. Its description in RNAcentral is "tRNA-Asn". The record is from RNAcentral. Lineage: Eukaryota; Metazoa; Arthropoda; Insecta; Hymenoptera; Cephidae.